CAAACACACACAUUCUUUUUUAAUAUCCUUUUCCAUUAUGGUUUAUGAUAGGAUAUUGAAUAUAAUUUCCUGUGCCUUACAGUAGGACCUGUUGUUUAUCCAUUCUAUAUGUAAUCGCCUACACCUGCUAACCCCAAUCUCCCAGUUCAUCCCUUCCCCAACUCCCUCCCCCUUGGCAACCAGAAGUCUGUUCUCUAUGCCUGUGAGUCUGUUUCUGUUUUGUAAAUAGAUUUAUUUGUGUCAUAUUUUAGAUCCCACACAUAAGUGAUAUCAUACGGGAUGUGUCUUUCUCUUUCUGACUAACUUCAUUUAGUGUGAUCAUCUCUAGUUGCAUUUGGAAUGGCUGUUUGAAGACUCAGUUACAGCCCUGGCUAUGGCAAUACUUUUCAGGGCUAGGUCCAGGUUCUCCAAAGACUGUGUCAGUCUUCCCUGAAUUAGUGUCCAGUAUAUGAUGCUAUCUCUCUGACAGCUCAGACUCACAGGCCUAGGGGUCAAGGGGUAGAAAUGGAAGUGGCCCCACUCACUGCUACCCUUAGUGACCUGCUAGCAAUGCUUUUGCUUUCAAUUCCUGUGACUUUGCCCUGCUGGCUUAGAGGUCUUGGUUUCAGCAGGAGGAAUGCUUACGUCAGGAGAGACAGCAAUGGCUCCACUGAACUGAAAGUGAAGACUGCCACCUGAUCUCUGCAUUCCUCGUUACUCUGAAUCAACUGGCGAGGCAGAAAGUUACUGUACGGAUUGAUCCUAACAGCCCAGAGGAAAUCGGACUACUACUCCAUGACGGAGGUUCCAGCAUCCUCCUGUCAACUGUCGUGAUUUUGGUGCUCUCACAGGAGAAGAUACCAUUGCAUGUCCUUCUAUUCCCAGGUUCUGCCAAUGAGAAGUGCUGGUGGGAGACUGGAAGAUGGUAAAGAAGGCAGCCCCUCUCAUCUUCGGCUCCUGUGGCUCUCCUCAAGGGCUCCCUACAGACUCUCUUAGAGAUCUCAGCACCAGACAUGCAAGUCUCUCAAUCCAGCACCAGCCUGUGGUGGCCCAUCCAUUUCGUCUGAAACACCUCCUGCAUUUCAAACAAAAGUUUCUAUUUCCUAGAUCUUAGCUGAUAGGAUACGUGCUACCAAGAUCAGGAGUUAUUUUCGACCUCCUGGAACAUAUUCAACUUUCUAAUGCAUCUGAGGUACCUGCCCUUCCUGUUCCUCGGUCUAUGCAGGAAGAUGUCAUGAACGUAAUGAUCAGGGUGAUGUUCUGGGGAACGUCAGGAAGAUUCAGCUCUCUGCUGGCACAGUGACGGCAGUGGGAAGGAGAGGUGACAUAAGCCUGAGGCUAGACAACUGAAGAUCUAUUGCUGCCACACCUCCUUCCUGCCUGGGUCCUGAUGAUACAGCAGCCCUUUUUAGGAUAUGCAUUUGAGGAUGAACUAUGCUGAGGCUGCCAAAAAAACAGGAUAUUUUGGGGGAAAAUCUUAAAAUCUCUAGAUUCAGAGAAAGGAAUGAUUUUUCUUUUUUCCUAUUUUUUUGGUAGCACCACGUGACAGAAAAUUGUUUUAAAAUAAACCUGGAUAGACAAACUGUGGCAUAUUCAUCCAAUAUGUAUUGAAUGACAUAGUAGUUUAUGAAGCAAAGAAAAAUAGUGAACUCUAGCUGCAGAGAACCAGAGAUGAACUCCUAGGACAUAACACUGAGCAAAAGAAACCAGACACAAAAGAAUUCACUGUAUGAAGCAAUUUUUACAACAUUCAAGAACAAGGAAAACUAUUCCAAGGUGAUAGCAGUCAGAAUAAUGGUUAGCUUUUGAAGAGAGAUUAAUACGGGUGGAGACACAUAGAAGCGUUCUGAGCUGCUGGAAAUUUCUACGUCUUAAUUAGGAUGGUUGUUACAUGGAUGUGUACUGAGAAUUUACAUCCAGUAAGAAUUUGCUGAGCUGUACACUUAUGAGUUGCACAUUCUACAUGUGUAUCUCUCAAUAAAAAAGCAAUACAAAACUCUCAGUACAGAUAAGACAUUAAAAGUAUUUAUAAAAUAAACAGAUGUGUAACUUGAGCUACUGCAUGGUAAACAGAAGGGGAAAAGGUGGAAGUAGUGACAGAUUUCCUCUUCUUGGGCUCCAAAAUCACAGCUGACAGUGACUGCAGCUAUGAAACCAGAAGACGAUUGCUUCUUGGCAGGAAAGCAAUGACAAACCUAGACAGGGUGUUGAAAAGCAGAGAUAUUACUCUGCCAACAAAGGUCUGUAUAGUCAAGGCUAUGGUCUUCCCAGUGGUCACAUACAGUUGUGAGAGCUGGACCAUAAAAAAGGCAGAGUGCCGAAGAAUUGAUGCCUUUGAACUGUGGUGCUGGAGAAGACUUCUGAAAAUCCCUCGGAUGGCAAGGAGAUCAAACCAGUCGAUCUUAAGGGAGAUCAACCCUGAAUACUCACUGGAAGGACUGAUGCUGAAGCUCCAGUAUUUUGGUCAUCUGAUGUGAACAGAUGACUCAUUGGAAAAGUCCCUAAUGCUGGGAAAGAUUGAGGGCAGGAAGAAAAGAGGGCGUCAGAGGAGGGAUGGCUCCACCACAUCACCAAUGCAAUGAACGUGAACUUGGGCAAACUCUGGGAGAUGGUGAGGGACAGGGAGGCCUGGCAUGCUGCAGUCCAACGGGUCACAGGGGACUGAACAACAAGAACAACUUGAGCUUUCCAACCUAGUUUCAUUUAUUUCAUCAAUAAUAUUAGUAGAAGUUUAGGAAGUCUUUGAUGAACUGUAUCAAAGUGAAAGUGAAAGAAAGUGAAGUCGCUCAGUCAUGUCCAACUCUUUCAGACUCCAUGGACUAUAGCCUACCAGGCUCCUCUCUCCAUGGGAUUCUUCGGGCAGGAACACUGGAGUGGGUUGCCAUUUCCUUCUCCAGGGUAUCUUCCCAACCCAGGGAUCAAACCCAGGUCUCCUGCAUUGCAGGCAGAUGCUUUAACCUCUGAGCCACCAGGGAAGCCCUGUACCAAAGUGACACAUUAAAGUUUAAAAGCUUA
Bos taurus (domestic cattle) is the source of this 2994-nucleotide long non-coding RNA. The record is from Ensembl. NCBI's taxonomy places the organism in Eukaryota, Metazoa, Chordata, Mammalia, Artiodactyla, Bovidae.